Molecule: ribosomal RNA, 2929 nt
Filed under: Bacillus anthracis (anthrax bacterium)
Lineage: Bacteria; Bacillati; Bacillota; Bacilli; Caryophanales; Bacillaceae
Description: bacterial LSU rRNA
Rfam family: Bacterial large subunit ribosomal RNA
Source: RNAcentral
UUUGGUUAAGUUAGAAAGGGCGCACGGUGGAUGCCUUGACACUAGGAGUCGAUGAAGGACGGGACUAACGCCGAUAUGCUUCGGGGAGCUGUAAGUAAGCUUUGAUCCGAAGAUUUCCGAAUGGGGAAACCCACCAUACGUAAUGGUAUGGUAUCCUUAUCUGAAUACAUAGGGUAAGGAAGACAGACCCAGGGAACUGAAACAUCUAAGUACCUGGAGGAAGAGAAAGCAAAUGCGAUUUCCUGAGUAGCGGCGAGCGAAACGGAACAUAGCCCAAACCAAGAGGCUUGCCUCUUGGGGUUGUAGGACAUUCUAUACGGAGUUACAAAGGAACGAGGUAGACGAAGCGACCUGGAAAGGUCCGUCGUAGAGGGUAACAACCCCGUAGUCGAAACUUCGUUCUCUCUUGAAUGUAUCCUGAGUACGGCGGAACACGUGAAAUUCCGUCGGAAUCUGGGAGGACCAUCUCCCAAGGCUAAAUACUCCCUAGUGAUCGAUAGUGAACCAGUACCGUGAGGGAAAGGUGAAAAGCACCCCGGAAGGGGAGUGAAAGAGAUCCUGAAACCGUGUGCCUACAAAUAGUCAGAGCCCGUUAACGGGUGAUGGCGUGCCUUUUGUAGAAUGAACCGGCGAGUUACGAUCCCGUGCGAGGUUAAGCUGAAGAGGCGGAGCCGCAGCGAAAGCGAGUCUGAAUAGGGCGUUUAGUACGUGGUCGUAGACCCGAAACCAGGUGAUCUACCCAUGUCCAGGGUGAAGUUCAGGUAACACUGAAUGGAGGCCCGAACCCACGCACGUUGAAAAGUGCGGGGAUGAGGUGUGGGUAGCGGAGAAAUUCCAAUCGAACCUGGAGAUAGCUGGUUCUCCCCGAAAUAGCUUUAGGGCUAGCCUUAAGUGUAAGAGUCUUGGAGGUAGAGCACUGAUUGGACUAGGGGUCCUCAUCGGAUUACCGAAUUCAGUCAAACUCCGAAUGCCAAUGACUUAUCCUUAGGAGUCAGACUGCGAGUGAUAAGAUCCGUAGUCAAAAGGGAAACAGCCCAGACCGCCAGCUAAGGUCCCAAAGUGUGUAUUAAGUGGAAAAGGAUGUGGAGUUGCUUAGACAACUAGGAUGUUGGCUUAGAAGCAGCCACCAUUUAAAGAGUGCGUAAUAGCUCACUAGUCGAGUGACUCUGCGCCGAAAAUGUACCGGGGCUAAAUACACCACCGAAGCUGCGGAUUGAUACCAAUGGUAUCAGUGGUAGGGGAGCGUUCUAAGGACAGUGAAGUCAGACCGGAAGGACUGGUGGAGUGCUUAGAAGUGAGAAUGCCGGUAUGAGUAGCGAAAGACGGGUGAGAAUCCCGUCCACCGAAUGCCUAAGGUUUCCUGAGGAAGGCUCGUCCGCUCAGGGUUAGUCAGGACCUAAGCCGAGGCCGACAGGCGUAGGCGAUGGACAACAGGUUGAUAUUCCUGUACCACCUCUUUAUCGUUUGAGCAAUGGAGGGACGCAGAAGGAUAGAAGAAGCGUGCGAUUGGUUGUGCACGUCCAAGCAGUUAGGCUGAUAAGUAGGCAAAUCCGCUUAUCGUGAAGGCUGAGCUGUGAUGGGGAAGCUCCUUAUGGAGCGAAGUCUUUGAUUCCCCGCUGCCAAGAAAAGCUUCUAGCGAGAUAAAAGGUGCCUGUACCGCAAACCGACACAGGUAGGCGAGGAGAGAAUCCUAAGGUGUGCGAGAGAACUCUGGUUAAGGAACUCGGCAAAAUGACCCCGUAACUUCGGGAGAAGGGGUGCUUUCUUAACGGAAAGCCGCAGUGAAUAGGCCCAAGCGACUGUUUAGCAAAAACACAGCUCUCUGCGAAGCCGUAAGGCGAAGUAUAGGGGGUGACACCUGCCCGGUGCUGGAAGGUUAAGGAGAGGGGUUAGCGUAAGCGAAGCUCUGAACUGAAGCCCCAGUAAACGGCGGCCGUAACUAUAACGGUCCUAAGGUAGCGAAAUUCCUUGUCGGGUAAGUUCCGACCCGCACGAAAGGUGUAACGAUUUGGGCACUGUCUCAACCAGAGACUCGGUGAAAUUAUAGUACCUGUGAAGAUGCAGGUUACCCGCGACAGGACGGAAAGACCCCGUGGAGCUUUACUGUAGCCUGAUAUUGAAUUUUGGUACAGUUUGUACAGGAUAGGCGGGAGCCUUUGAAACCGGAGCGCUAGCUUCGGUGGAGGCGCUGGUGGGAUACCGCCCUGACUGUAUUGAAAUUCUAACCUACGGGUCUUAUCGACCCGGGAGACAGUGUCAGGUGGGCAGUUUGACUGGGGCGGUCGCCUCCUAAAGUGUAACGGAGGCGCCCAAAGGUUCCCUCAGAAUGGUUGGAAAUCAUUCGUAGAGUGCAAAGGCAUAAGGGAGCUUGACUGCGAGACCUACAAGUCGAGCAGGGACGAAAGUCGGGCUUAGUGAUCCGGUGGUUCCGCAUGGAAGGGCCAUCGCUCAACGGAUAAAAGCUACCCCGGGGAUAACAGGCUUAUCUCCCCCAAGAGUCCACAUCGACGGGGAGGUUUGGCACCUCGAUGUCGGCUCAUCGCAUCCUGGGGCUGUAGUCGGUCCCAAGGGUUGGGCUGUUCGCCCAUUAAAGCGGUACGCGAGCUGGGUUCAGAACGUCGUGAGACAGUUCGGUCCCUAUCCGUCGUGGGCGUAGGAAAUUUGAGAGGAGCUGUCCUUAGUACGAGAGGACCGGGAUGGACGCACCGCUGGUGUACCAGUUGUUCUGCCAAGGGCAUAGCUGGGUAGCUAUGUGCGGAAGGGAUAAGUGCUGAAAGCAUCUAAGCAUGAAGCCCCCCUCAAGAUGAGAUUUCCCAUAGCGUAAGCUAGUAAGAUCCCUGAAAGAUGAUCAGGUUGAUAGGUUCGAGGUGGAAGCAUGGUGACAUGUGGAGCUGACGAAUACUAAUAGAUCGAGGCCUUAAGCAUAUAA